This is a non-coding RNA of Cinara cedri, 233 nucleotides long. Lineage: Eukaryota; Metazoa; Arthropoda; Insecta; Hemiptera; Aphididae. The record is from the annotation of a GenBank genome assembly.
GGGAGUAGAAGACCAAGAAAGAGGUAGUUGGAUGCGAUUGUGAAUGAUAUAUGGACGACGAAUGUACGCGAGGACGGUGGAGGGAUCGGUCAGAUUGAAUCAAGUGGAAGUUUAGGAUCAAACCACGAAGGUGGCUGACCCAAAAUAUUUAGGAUGAAGGAGAAGGAGAAGAAGAAGUUAUUCGUUGUUUAUAUUAUCUGUACCUAUGUAAAGCUAAUUGAUUGAUUACUUAA